AGGGGCAAACACAGUUCAGCUGAAAUUGCAAACCAAGGAAGGUGCCUGUGACUAUACUUGGAUCCAAGCCAUGGUCACUCAUUUCCUACCCUGAUGUUUUAGCUACAUCCUUCCUGCAGUCUGUCUGUGCCUGAGGUUCCCAGGCAUUUGCCAGAGCUUUAUUGAAGUUGACUUUUGCAUAUGUAGACAAGAAAUGCAGCAGGGAUUCAGCAGGGAGUGUUACCAGUGCCUCCACUCUGCUGUCGGUAAUGAAGUGCUGCACUGUCAGGCGGGUGAGAAACCUUUGUUUCUGGAGUGCUGAUGAACAUCUUCCAUGGAAAAGGAAAAAAAAACACGUCAAGAGCUUUCUUGGCCAUCAUGUUGAGACGAUGUUCAGCUAGAAAAUAGAGGACAAAAAGACUGUGCAAAGUCAUUGAAAACAUAAAAAUCAGAAAAAAAGAAAGUAAAUUACUUACAAGAGCUGAAGAAGUUUCUGAAGGGAAGGUAGGGAUUUUCAGUUGUAAAAAGGAUAUGAUUGUUUUAACUUUUACUAUUUGGAAAAGAGAACUUUGGAAUUACAAUAAAGUUAUGGCAAGAUAAAAUAAGAUGUUUAAU
RNAcentral lists this long non-coding RNA (594 nucleotides) under Numida meleagris (helmeted guineafowl). RNAcentral's name for it is "lncRNA (ENSNMEG00000000645.1)". The record is from RNAcentral. Lineage: Eukaryota; Metazoa; Chordata; Aves; Galliformes; Numididae.